Molecule: ribosomal RNA, 253 nt
Filed under: uncultured bacterium
Lineage: Bacteria
Description: partial 16S ribosomal RNA
Rfam family: Bacterial small subunit ribosomal RNA
Source: RNAcentral
UACGUAGGGGGCUAGCGUUGUCCGGAAUUAUUGGGCGUAAAGGGCUCGUAGGCGGUUUGUCACGUCGGGAGUGAAAACUCGGGGCUUAACCCCGAGCCUGCUUCCGAUACGGGCAGACUAGAGGUAUGCAGGGGAGAACGGAAUUCCUGGUGUAGCGGUGAAAUGCGCAGAUAUCAGGAGGAACACCGGUGGCGAAGGCGGUUCUCUGGGCAUUACCUGACGCUGAGGAGCGAAAGUGUGGGGAGCGAACAGG